UAAACUGAAGCUAAAUGUUUGAGCGCUUGGCUGUUAACUAAGAGUUAGUGGGAUAAAUACCCUCCAGUUUAG
Molecule: transfer RNA, 72 nt
Filed under: Planigale sp. AJ-2010
Lineage: Eukaryota; Metazoa; Chordata; Mammalia; Dasyuromorphia; Dasyuridae
Description: transfer RNA-Asn
Rfam family: tRNA
About the family: Transfer RNA (tRNA) molecules are approximately 80 nucleotides in length. Their secondary structure includes four short double-helical elements and three loops (D, anti-codon, and T loops).
Source: RNAcentral